AUGGCCGCCGCACGGACCUACGUCGACUUCGUGCCGUCGCACGAGCUGGUCGAGGACGCCGCCAAGCAGACCCUCGUCGUCAACCUCCCCGGGUUCAAGAAGGAGCAUCUGAGGGUGCAGAUCGACAACUACGGCCGGCUGAGGGUCAGCGGCGAGCGGCCGCUCGAGGGCGGCCAGUGGAGCCGGUUCCGCAAGGAGUUCCAGGUCCCCGAGGGCUGCGACGCCGGCGGCAUCCGCGCCAGGUUCGAGAAGGACGGCGUCCUCAACGUCACCAUGCCCAGGCUCACGCCCCUCGUGGACGACCCAAAGGCCGCGGCGGACGCUGCCGCUGCCGCCGACGCAGAAGCUGCGCGGCUCGCCGCCGCUGCCGCAGAAGAGAAGAAGCGCCAGGAGGAGAUGGAGGAGGACGCGAGGAAGCGUCAUGCGGCUGAUGCGGGUGACGAGGACGGCCACUCCAGCGACGAAGGCGAAGGCGCGCACCAGGCGGCGUCUGCCGGUGGGCAGGCGUACGGCCUCGCCAGGGACCGGAGCAGGAGCGGGAUGGUGCGGGCACUGCUCCUCGCCGUGGCGGUGGCCUUGGUUGGCGUUGCUGGCCUGUAUGCUCGGUACAGGUGGAUGGAUCCGUCGGCUGAGACGGCGCCGGCAGAUGGUGCUAUCGUCGGCCUCUUUGACUACUGA
RNAcentral lists this ribosomal RNA (678 nucleotides) under Triticum aestivum (bread wheat). RNAcentral's name for it is "partial small subunit ribosomal RNA". The record is from RNAcentral. Lineage: Eukaryota; Viridiplantae; Streptophyta; Magnoliopsida; Poales; Poaceae.